Molecule: ribosomal RNA, 466 nt
Filed under: uncultured Opitutaceae bacterium
Lineage: Bacteria; Pseudomonadati; Verrucomicrobiota; Opitutia; Opitutales; Opitutaceae
Description: bacterial SSU rRNA
Rfam family: Bacterial small subunit ribosomal RNA
Source: RNAcentral
CGGCAUGGUUAAGACAUGCAAGUCGAACGAUAAGCAAGACUUCGGUCUUGUGGACAGUGGCGAACGGGUGCGUAACACGUGAGCAACCUGCCCUUGAGUACGGAAUAGCCCGCCGAAAGGCGGAUUAAUGCCGUAUGUGGCCCUUCAUCGCAUGGUGAAGUGGCUAAAGCUUGUAAUGGCGCUCAAGGAUGGGCUCGCGGCCUAUCAGCUUGUUGGUGAGGUAAAAGCUCACCAAGGCUAAGACGGGUAGCUGGUCUGAGAGGAUGAUCAGCCACACCGGGACUGAGACACGGCCCGGACACCUACGGGUGGCAGCAGUUUCGAAUCAUUCACAAUGGGCGAAAGCCUGAUGGUGCAAUGCCGCGUGGAGGAUGACGGCCUUAGGGUUGUAAACUCCUGUCAUUGGGGAGCAAUAAGCAGGUUAAUAGCCUGCCCUGAGUUAACCCAAAGAGGAAGAGGUGGCUAA